GGUGCACUCUCCCAAGCUUCAGCAGUUUGUACAGCUGUUUUCAGACCUGCAAGUUUUGAGUUCUUCCAAAGUGAUAUGAUCUAAGGAUGGCGUGUUUAUUAUUCUUCUGGUCUAUAAGUGAGCACAUGCAUUCUUUUCUGCCUUGUAACUGUGGGGAGGGUCCCUUCUCCACUUGCUUCUCCUGGGGCUGCCGCCCAGGACUACAACCAGUAGCUGAGUAGGGACAAAACAACAGAGUUCUUCCCGAGCGUCUCCAGGACACCGGGGCAGGCGCAGAGCUACUCUCACGCGCUUCGGUCGGCGUGUCGGGUCUAAGGCGCAGGCGCGCUCCGGCCUUGGAGACGAAUUGGGAAGCUGAGUGCGCUCAGAAGCCGGCGUCAUGGCGGAGACAGAUCCCAAAACUGUUCAGACACUUCUGCAGCAGAUGCAGGACAAGUUUCAGACCAUGUCAGACCAGAUAAUUGGACGAAUUGAUGAUAUGAGCAGUCGAAUUGAUGAUCUGGAGAAAAACAUUGCUGACCUUAUGACCCAAGCAGGGGUGGAAGAAAUAGAAGGGGAAAACAAAGUACCUGCUACACGGAAUAGUUAAAGGUUUUGUUAAUCAUUUAGAGUGAAUUCUGGAAAAUGUUUUUUACAAGCCAAGAGGUGAAUGAACAGCUUUUCUCAACUAACUACUGUGUGCAAACAUUUUUUAAUUACAAAGCUUGUAUUCCUAGAAUAUGCAGUUUAGUUAGGUUUCAAGGUGAUUUAGUUUUUGAUUUCCUGUAUGUGGUAGCUCAUAAUAUAUGAUAAAAAAUGUGUAAAAUUAGUAAACUGAAAUUCUGACUACUCUUGGCUAAAAUUUUAAAAAUUUUUAGUGCAUUUUUUGUCAUUUGUUCCUUUUGUAGUAGUUUCAGUUUAAUAACAAAUUGCUGUGAGUUUUUUUUAAGAAAUGUAUUAAUUUUUUCAACUCUUAGUAGACUCUCUUUGUGAAGUAAACACCUAGAGUCUAUGGUUUGUAAUUCUCAGCACAAAAUUACUGUUGUACUAAUAAGAAAUAAAUGGUAUGUUGACCAUAUUUUUAAAACAGACAAAAAAAUUCGAGCUUUUUGUAUUUAGAUGUCUGUCGUUGCUAUGUUUCCGUGAUUGACAACUAUACCUAAGAAUCUACUGUAAAAAGCAGCUGAAAUUGAUUGACAGUAACUACUGCCACUUUUUAAUAUACUGGAGGAUUUGGAUAGUAACAAUAUCUCAAUUCCUCACAAAUACUAGGGACAGAAAAUAACCUGUAAAGAUGAAUUCCAUUCAUUGGUUAGAAUUUUGUGUGUCAUAACACUUCAGUAAUUAGUCAUAAAAUCAGAAGUGUUCACUGUAAGAAUCUGAAAAGGUUUUAAAGUCCACUUCAUAUUCACCUGUGCUACUGAUUUUAAAAAGCAUUUGUUGUUUAGAAGAAAAAGCAAGUGGCCAUUAUUAAGCCUUGUUCACUUAUUACUUACUGACUAAUGAAUGCCCUUAUUAUAAGCUUGGAUUUUUUAAAGAAAAACUGUGGGUUUUGUUGUUUACCUUUUUCUUACCUAAAUGCUUGCAGAAUAACACUUUUGUAAUAGGUUAUAGGUGGAAUGGAAAAACCACACAUUUUCAUCACGACAUAUUCUCUCUGUUUUAAUAAAGAGGCAAGGGGGACAUGGCUUGGAUACCCUGAUGAUUAAUUCAUCAGAUUGCUCCCGGUAUUUAAAAAAAAAAAAUUAAGGUCAAGAUAAAGCUGAAGGAUGGUAUAUAGAGGUAGAGGAUCAUUUUUCCUGAAGAGGAAUGGUUAAGUGAAUAUUUUGUGAUUGUAGAAGAAAUCUCCGUACAACCUGAUAGUUUAUUGUAUUGUUAUAAAUAUGGAAUAAAGCUAUGAAAUAAGUUUGUUCUAGUUUUGAUAUAUCUGGUGUAAAAAUCAUCUUAUUAAGCCUCUGUUAGUAAAUCAUAUAUUUGUAAGUGCCUACUACAUACACAGCCUUGUGCUCGUUAUUUGGAAUUUGAAUUUCAGUCAGGAUCUAAAUAUUGGGGAAUGGCAGAAGUUUUUUGAAUGCUGUGAUGGUACAUUUAUCUUAAUAAAAUGAGCAAAAUGACUUACAGGAUAAUCUGAAAAUAGGAAAUAUGGAGAACAUUCAGAACAUUUCAAUAUGUAGAGAAGAGAUGAAGGCUUGAACUAAAGGUAGUUGUGACAGGAGAGGCUGGGAAUGGUAAAAAUAUCAUUAGAAACAAAAUUUGGCAUCAUUGAAUGUAUGGGGGGAAAAUUAAUUACUAUGUGAUAUGCUAAGCAUUGGGGAUACAAAUAGAAAAGUUGGACAUUCUCUCAACUUCAAGUAACAGAGUAGGAGCUGGAAGGGGAGUAGAGGAGAACAGUGUUAUUGGUACAUUUACUUGAUAAUCAUGUUGCCCAGAGCACAGAAUCCAGUGGCCUUGCUCCUCCCAUACAUGAUCUCUUGGGUGGCGGAACAAUAUAAGGGAGAGAAUGCCUUGAGAGUAAAAGGUGAAGAGGGACUGGGAAUUGGGGAAAUAGUUAAGGUGGAGCUAAGGAAUGGGAAGGGGAAUAGAAUCAUAGAACUUAAGGGACCACCUAAUCCAAUUUCCCACAUUCUAAAGUUUAGGAAACGGGCAUAUUAAGUGAUUAAGCUAUUAAGUGAUCCGCCCAAGAGCACAGGAAGCCAAAAGUUAUGGAGGGUCCUUAUCAGGAUAUAGCUGAGAAUUCUUCAUUGAAGUUGCUGGAGCUUGUUUUCUAUUCAAAAGUCAUGAAUAGGAGCAAUCUGUUAUUCUACCCCCUGGAAGUAGAAAACUGGCUGCAAUGGUGGCUCAAGUAGGCCUGAAUUACAGCUGCUCUCCUGGGGCUGUGGUCUCAGCACUUAAGAACACUGCUGGCCCAGACCCCUUGCUUUUUUUUUCAUUUGUUCUUUUUCUAGCUUUUUUUAGUUGCAAGCCCAAUACAUUGAUCUCUUUCUCUAUUUUAUGCUAAGCCUCUAGAGAGAUAAAAUUUCCCCUUAUUACUGUUUUGGCUGCAUCCCACACAUUUUGGUAUGUUGUCUAAUUACUGUCAUUCUCUUGGAUAAAAUUAUUAAUUGUAUCUAUGAUUUGCUGUUUCAACCAUUCAUUCUUUAGGAUGAGGUUAUUUAGUUCCAAUUAUUUUUUGGUCUAUUUUCCCCUGGCUUUUUAUUGAAUGUAGUUUUUAUUGCAUCAUGAUCUGAAAAGAAUGCAUUUACUAUUUCUGCCUUUCUAAAGGAAUUUGAAUUUGAGGUCUUUAUGUCCUAAUAUGUGGUCAGUUUUUGUAUAGGUUCCACAAACUGCCAAGAAGAAAGUAUACUCCUGUCUUCAGUUUUCUCCAAAGAUCUAUCAUACCUAACUUUUCUAUUAUUCUACUUACCUCUUUAACUUCUUAUUUGUUUUGUGAUUUGAUUUAUCUAAUUCUGAGAGUGCAAGGUUGAGAUCUGCCACUAUUAUAGUUUUGCUGUCUAUUUCUUCUUGCAGCUCUCUUAACUUCUUUUUUAGGAAGUUAGAUGCUAUAACCCUUGGUGCACAUAUGUUUAAUAUUAAUAUUGCUUCAUUGCCUAUGCUAUCCUUUAGCAAGAUAUAGUGCCCUUAUCUCUUUUAAUUGCUUCAAUUUUUGCUUUUGCUUGAUUUGAAAUCAGAAUGACUACCCCUACUUUUUUUUUUAAUGCAGACAAAAUUAGAAGCGAAGCAACAAACUGGAAAAACAUUUUUACAUUCAAAGGUUCUGAUAAGGGUCUCAUUUCCAAAUUAUAUAGAAAAUUGACUCAUGUUUACAAGAAAUCAGUCCAUUCUGCAAUUGAUAAAUGGUCAAAGGAUAUGAACAGACAGUUUUCAGAUGAAUAAAUUGAAACUAUUUCUAGUCUUAUGAAAAAGGUGCUCCAAAUCACUAUUGAUAGAGAAAUACAAAUUAAG
Molecule: long non-coding RNA, 3921 nt
Organism: Sarcophilus harrisii (Tasmanian devil)
Lineage: Eukaryota; Metazoa; Chordata; Mammalia; Dasyuromorphia; Dasyuridae
Source: Ensembl